UGAGAUGUAAACAUUAUGUGUGUGCUACAU
This 30-nucleotide non-coding RNA is filed under the name Mus musculus (house mouse). The record is from RNAcentral. Lineage: Eukaryota; Metazoa; Chordata; Mammalia; Rodentia; Muridae.